UUUUAUGCCUUGAAAUGUGCAGGCAAGGGAUAUGAGCCCCAGUCACUCCGGGGAAAAACCCUCAUGGAGUAUCAGCCUUUGUGAAAGGGAAUCUGGAAGUAUCUGGCUACCAAGGCCACUGACUUCACAAGGGCUUCACUGGCUGUCCAGCUUUAGAUCAGUGCUCAGCAGCCACUAGGAACCUUGGCAAAGGACUUUAUGCCGGUCUCGUUCAAAUGGUCCCAAAGUUCCUCCAAGCUCUGCCUUCUUGCCCUGGGGUCCCAUAGGCCUGAGUCCUAAUGCCCAGAUGUCCAUAUUUGGAUCCUUCUCUUUCCUUUACUGUCACUGUAUUCCAUCCCCCACCCAUCACUUCUUGAUCCUGGUGUUCGUUCAAUGAGUCAUUCCUUCACCAAAUGCCUUGAGUGCCAACUGUGUGUCAGCACUAUCACCAACAUAGAGGAUACAACAGGAGCAAGAAAGAUAUAGUUCCUUUUAUUGCAGCCUGGUAGGAGAGAGACAAUCAAGUGACCUUCCAACUAACAUAUGAUAUAAUAUUGGGUCAUGACAAACACUAUGGAAUAAAGCAGGGCGAGGGCCAGAGGAGAACAGGGACAAGAAGGGCAGUCAGGGAAAGCCUCUCUAGGAAGCAGUAUUGCACAGAGGUUCCAACAAGGUAAUGAAAUCAACCUGAGGCCAUCUGGGAAAAGAGUGAUCCAAUUAGAGGGGACAUCCAGUGCAAAGGUCCUGAGGUGGGAGCUUGCUUAGCAUAUAUGAGGACCGAAAAGGAGGCACCAGAGGAGCAUGGAGGGAUAGAAGUCAGACAGAGACAAGACCAGGGGGAGUAGUGGCCAUUUUGUGAGGACAUUGGAGGUGAUGAAAAGGUCUCUGGAUCUUUUUCUGAGUAUGAGUGGACAUCACUGGAAGCAUUUUGAGCAAAAAUGAUCUGGGUUAUAUUUAAGAGGGUCAGUUCAGGUGCUCUAUGGAAACUGCCUAUAGAGUUCAAUGGUGAAGUGCAGCUACCCUUGAGGACUCCUGUGGGCAUAGUCAGUCAGUGAGAGCUGAGGGUGUCACAGACAGUAUUGCUGACAAGGAGGAGGGGAGCCUAACCUUAGCAGCUGUGUGAUUCCAGACAAGUCAGUGGUUUCUCAGAGCCGCUCUCUGCCUCGGACAAUCCCAUUAUGACCUCAGUUUCUAAUAGGAACACAACAAGAUAACAUAUGCAACCAGCUUUGCAUAGUGCCUGGCUUCUAUCAGGACUGUGUUUCUGCCUCCACUAGUGUCUCUACCUUUCCAGCAGAAUCCCUUCCCAUCAUGGCUGUUGCAGCUGGAAAAUACUCCCUCCAAGGAGGCUGGAAGUUUUUUAGUGAGAGCAACUCAUGGGCAAACAUAGGAAAACUCAAGAAUCUCUUACAUCAGGACCUAAAAACCAUCACAGAAAAGAAAUCCUGGCACUUUUAUGGCUCCCUAAAAACCCUUUAGAAACACACGUGGUAUUUUUCUCUCAAGGCCCUCUGUGGUUGAACCAAUUAGCCAACUUCAAGGCCAGGAACAACAUAGAUCUCCAGAGGCUGGUGGCCCCCAGAGAAGGAAGAACUGCCUGAGUGGGAGUGGACGCUGACCAUGAGCUGGAUACAGGGCUCCAGGGUAGCAGGUGGGCAACCCUACUCCUGUACCCAUGACCUUGCCUAAGCCUCCAUUCCUUCUACCUGGAUCCAGGAUGCUCUUCCCCCAUCACUGCCAGAGUCAAGCUAGCCCUUCAGAUUCAACUACAUCAUGAUUUAUACUGUUUUGGGGGACACAGCAAUUAUUUGCCUGAUGUCUACAUCUCCUACCCACUGAAAACUCCAUGAAGGAAGGUAAAAAGCUGAGUUUGUUCACCAAUGAAUCCCCUGCACCUAACACAGACUGUACAGAGGCCCUUGUGAGGAGUUUGAGUUUUAUUUUAAGUUUAACAGAAAACCUUCGAAAAUUCUUACACAGGAGGUGAUGAGCUCACACUUAUUGUCAGUGACUUAUUGAACAACCAAAACCCAAGAGAAUAAAAAUAUUAAAAGUUU
This is a long non-coding RNA of Felis catus (domestic cat), 2036 nucleotides long. RefSeq lists it as uncharacterized. The record is from RefSeq and is a predicted model, not a curated record. The transcript has 3 exons. Lineage: Eukaryota; Metazoa; Chordata; Mammalia; Carnivora; Felidae.